RNAcentral lists this long non-coding RNA (5429 nucleotides) under Sus scrofa (pig). RNAcentral's name for it is "lncRNA (ENSSSCG00000055824.1)". Lineage: Eukaryota; Metazoa; Chordata; Mammalia; Artiodactyla; Suidae. The record is from RNAcentral.
AAACUGUGAAGAUGUUAUCAAGGAACAAAGGAAGGAUGCCGACUUAUCCCCUCAUGUCCUGCCCCAUGGCUGAGUAACUGCCCUAAUUACCCACUAAAUGCUGCCUGGAGCCCAUUUCAUCUUCUCUACCCGAACUCUUGCCAGUCAGAGAUUAUACCUUAGAGUCUGUUUACUCACAUUCCCAUUUCUCCGGUUAAAUUUUUUAAAAAGGGACUAUUCUUUGAAAUUAGAUUCAAGAAGCUUGAUCUAUAUUUGUUUGAUUGGAGCAGCGAGUAGAGCAAAGGAAGGGUGCCUCUAAAAUAUGUGUUAUGAUAGAGAAUUAAAGAAUUUUAUUUUUUUAUUUUUAUUUUUUAUUUUUUGUCUUUUUGCCUUUUCUAGGGCCACUCCCGCGGCAUAUGGAGGUUCCCAGGCUAGGGGUCUAACUGGAGCUGUAGCUGCCGACCUACGCCAGAGCCACAGCAGCUUGGGAUCCGAGCCGCGUCUGCGACCUACACCACAGCUCACGGCAACGCUGGAUCCUUAACCCACUGAGCGAGGCCAGGGAUCGAACCCACAACCUCAUGGUUCUUAGAUUCGUUAAGAAUCGACUAUCCACUGAGCCAUGAUGGGAACUCCAAGAAUUAAAGAAUUUUAGAAUUUUAUAGCUGGUAGGGAAUUCUUAAGGAACUCAGAAUGCUAAGAGAGUGUCAUAUCAAUAAAUAAUUAUAACACUUUAUGAGACGUGUUAAAACUGAAGCAUGAACACAAUGCUAUAGGGUCACUAAAUAGUGAAGAGCUAACUCUGCCUGGGCUGGGCAUUAUGGCAAAGCUUUCACAAAUAAGGUCAUUUUGGUGUUAGGUCUUGAUAGAUGACAAAGAGUUAUGAGAUGGGUUGCUCAUGUAUGUAGGGUGGUGUGAUAAAAGCUGAUGCCCAAGAAUAGGAAUUUAAGCAACACUGGCCACACUGCCUCAUUGAUUACACUUGAUCAGGGAACUUAUAAUAUUAAUGUUCAAACAAUUGGUGACAGUGGAAGAUUAACCUGAAGAAUACUGUCAGUGGGACGAUAGGUGAUGCCUGCUGGCACAAGGCGUGAAGGUGAAUUUCAGUGCACACACCUGAGUGGGCAAGAAAGGUUGUUUUCUUAAUUUUUUUUUUUUUUUUUGUCUUUUUUGUCUUUUGUUGUUGUUGCUAUUUCUUGGGCCGCUCCCGAGGCAUAUGGAGGUUCCCAGGCUAGGGGUCCAAUCGGAGCUGUAGCCACCGGCCUACGCCAGAGCCACAGCAACGCGGGAUCCGAGCCGCGUCUGCAACCUACACCACAGCUCACGGCAACACUGGAUCGUUAACCCACUGAGCAAGGGCAGGGACCGAACCCGCAACCUCAUGGUUCCCAGUCGGAUUCGUUAACCACUGCGCCACGACGGGAACUCCUGUUUUCUUAAUUUUACUAUAAUUUGUCAAUUUGUGUCAUACACUUCCAUUCUACAAGGAUGACAAAAGGUUGAUCGGCGAUUUUAAGAUUACCUCUUUACUUUGGAAUUGUACAGAGAGUUUGCAGGGCUGACCUAGUACAAAAAGUACCCAGACCCGCUCUGGGGCAUGUUCACAGGCUCUGUUAUAGCUGUUCCAUCACUUAUGCCCACGCUGUUUGGGGUCACUCCAGGCAACCUGUGCCGCAGAGGACUGGCCCUUCGUGCCGAGACAUACCAUAGUGUAUUGUCACUGGGGACUUUUAUCUCCCUGAGGCUUUACCCUGGAGAUGGACACAUCUCCCAGAUUCUUCACACGGAUUUGAGGGGCUUAUCUUCCAUGAGGAUUUGCUCAGAGUUAGGGAAGCCAUCUCCUCUGUUCCAUUUACUGUUGCUUCAUAAUCAAAUAGCUUAGGAGUUUCUGUUGUGGUUCAGUGGAUUAAGAAUCUGACAUGGUGUCCAUGAGGAUGCAGGUUCGAUCCUUGGCCUGGCUGAGUGGGUUAAGGAUACGGCAUUGCCACAAGCUGUGGUGUAGGUCACACAUGAGGCUUGGAUCUGGUGUUUCGGUGGCUGGAGCAUGGGCCUGCAGCUGCAGUUCCUAUUUGACCCCUAGCUCGGGAACUUCCAUAUGCUGCAGGUGUGGCUGUAAAAAAAAGAAAAAAAUUUUUACAAAAUUUAAAAUAAAUAAAUAAAUAAAUAAGCUUAAAAUAUAGCUGCUUAAACAGCUUUUUAUUAUCUUCCGGAAUUUGGUGGGUCAAGAGUUCAGACAGGGCACAGCAGGUGUGCUGGCUCUGCAUCAUGAUGUCUGGUCCUCAGCUGGGGAGUCUUAGUGGCUGUGGACUGGAAUCAUCAUCAUCCCUCAUGUCUGGAGCCUGGGGGUGGGGGGGAAUGACUUGAAGAUGAGAACUGCUGACGGGAGCUUCUACCAUGGCCUCUGUCUGUGGCUUGGCUUCCUCUGAGCAUGGCUGCCUCAGGGCAGUCAGAAUUCUUACAUGGCAGUUCCUGGCACCAAGAGCCACUGUUCUAGAAAAUGAGGCAGAAGCUGCAUCGCCUUUAUGGCCCAGUCUUUGAAGUCACAUUGGUCACUCUUGCCAAACCCUAUGAGUUAAAGAGAUCCAAAGGCCAUAGUGAUGAGAGGCGAGGGGUCCUAGACCUUUACCUUUCAAUGGGCAGGGAGUGUCAAAGGAUUUUGGAGCCAUGUUUUAAAGCAAUCCAACUUUUUCUUAGAGCUUAUCUACAAUGUUCAUUUCCCUUCCAACCUGAGCAUUUUGUUUGUCAUUAGUCUGAGCCCAAGGGUGGGGUGGGAAGUAAGGGAUGAGGAAUAUUUGCUCUGACUCAUAAUGUCUUCUCCAAAAUAUUUGAUCCACGCCAUGAGUCCUUUCCAUUCACUAAGAGCCUGAAUGUUUUGAAACUCAAAACCAGAAAGAGGCAGAAAGAACACUCUGCCUUUUGUUGUCACAGUCCUUCCCCAAGGUAGAAAGUUCUAUAGAUAAACCUAAAUACCAGAGCGGGUGGAGGACCAGAGGGAUAAAGGAAAUACUGUGAAGGGAAAAACCAGUUAAUAUUAGUACAUGAACUUUCUUUUAUAUAUUUAGUAUUUGAACGUUAUGCUACCAAAUAUGCAGCAAACUAAAACAAAUACACAAAAAGGUUUUGCUCUUCUCGAAUAAUUUCGCUAAACAAUAUAGCUAUUCUUAUUUGGAAUGGCCUCUUUCUAGGGGUACUAAUUCUCUCUCUCUCUCUCUAUUAUUAUUAUUAUUAUCAUUAUUUUUAGUUUUUCUACAAUUAAUUUUUUUUAAAUAUUAAAAAAUUUAAAUGUCCAAUUUAAUGGACCCAAUACCCUGGGAACAUUUCAGCAAUUUUAAGGCAUAGGAACCCCUACCUUUGAAAAUAGAUGUAUCGGAACCUAGAGGGCCAUCUCUCCUGCUAAUCUCACACCGUGUAUAAUCAAAUAGUUAGGCUUUUCAUUCUCUUCCCUACACAAGUAAGAGCUCUAAGCCUAUUUGGGAAAAAUGAGUUAUCCAAGGAUAAAAAUUCUUUGAAUUCCCCAUCAAAGCUCAUUGACAGACUAAGAAUACCACGUCAAGACCUCUUCUUAGGAUCUUUCAAGUCAGGGAGAAAAACCUCUUCAGAGAAAUAGGAUGUUAAUAUCUAUCGAUGUAGAUGUUGUUUGCAGUUGUGCAGGUGUUCAUUCCUGAUUUCCGCGCUCCUCGCUGGCCUGUGAUGUCUGCUUUAUGCCUGAUCUAUUUAUGAAUCAAUCACUGCGACUAGAGAGUUUGAAUAUAUUAAUUCAUCUCACUUUUGAAACCGGGAUGGUAGGGGUAAGGCAAGGGGGUUAGCUUCCUGGAAGAUACUUGGCUGCAUGACAUAGAGGUGAAUACGUGAAGGCAAUUAGGACCCUGCAUGGAGGAAGAAGUGGGGAGUAGAUACAACCAACUGUAUUCACUGUAGAGAAAAAAAUGGAAAGUUUGAAGCGUGUAGUCAAUGGAUCAAAGGCAUGUGCCUAUAAGCCUGAUAUUAAUUCAAGAGAUGUCUGAGCAUUGAUUCAAAGACAGAAGAAAUGAGCAUGUUGAAAGUGCUGUUGAUUGGAUGCUGAACAACAUCAGGGUAAAGGGCAAGGCAGUCAGUGUAGACAUGAAAGUGUCAAAGGGUUGCCUGCCAGCUUGUAGAGAUUACUAAGAGGAGGAGUGAAUUUCCCAAUUGUCAGUGUAGACAAUACUAGACUCUUGGAAAAUGAUGCCUGCUGGAUACUCUGUCAGCAAAGAGGAGAAAACUGUACUUGGUCUUAAAGACACUAAAAAUAGCUUCCUGCUCUUAUUUGAUGGAAAUACAUAUGCACUAAUGGCUACACACUUAAACCUAUCUUAGACAACUUGGGCUUACAAAUAGAUUUACAAACAAAUAGACAAAUGGUCUUUGAGCAUUUAACGAUCUGGGGCAGUGUUCUCUGCCCAAGAGCUGAAUGGAUCUUUGAAAUCCCUAGACCUUUUGGCAAAUGUGAAGCACCAGUGUUGAGAGGCUAACAUUUGGGAGCCAUUUUUCUUUGGAGCUAGAACAGGAGUUUGAAUAAGAUCCAGCCUGAGUCAGCUUCUAAACAAGGAUGAAAUUCAAGUUUACAAAGCUUACUUGCAAGCCUGAAGCAGCUUAUUUAUAUAUUUUUAACAUUGGCCCUAAAAAGAAACAUUGGUCUAUAACUUUGUAAAAUGCUGAGUUGAAUACUCAGCAAAAGCAAACUUAAACUGCUUUAAAACUUGACCUCCAAACAGGGCUGGCAGCAGUGCCAUGGUGACCAUCCAGUAAACAGAGCACCAGGCUACAAGAAAGCAACCCUCUGAAGCCCUCCCUGUGUAGGCAUUAAGGAACUUUUGGCCUUGGACAAGUCACUUCAGUUCUCUAGGUCGGAAGGAGAAGACGGGAUGCCUAAGGCACAAACCAGGAUAAUUGUUGUCUUCAUCUGACUUUAGGGUUGAGGAAUCUGAGUACAGUUAAAUCAUUUGUCAAAUACUGAGUCAGUAGGCCAGGAAUGGCUUGCCUGUCCCUGGCCUCCUAGGCUGGGACUCUGUCUUUCUCCUCUUGUGUUUUCCAGAAUGCAGUGGUAAAUCUGGCUGCGUCUGAUGAAAAGGCCCUCAACUGUCCAUGCCACCCACAGAUGAGUGCGUUUGAAUCUGUAGCUCCCAUCAGAUAAUCCCAGCAUCCAGGAAGGCUUAUCCGACAGACCCCACCUGUCUCGGCGGCUCUGAAGCACAGUCUACAAGCAAGCAUAGGACACAAAGCGUAAUCCCUUACGAUGAACAAAUAUCUCCUCAAACCCUGAACAUGCUCAGAGGAGCAUCACUUGGAUUAGUGGAUUAAAUGCCUUAGCCUAAAUGAUCUGACUGAUUUUCAUUAAGUAAUAAGGGAAAACCUCAGCAGUGAUAGAAAUGUUGCUUUGCAAAUCCAGCUAGGCUUUCUGCAAGAAAGUUCAGAGAUAAGAUAGGAGAUGG